AGUGAACGCUGGCGGUAGGCCUAACACAUGCAAGUCGAACGGCAGCACAGUAAGAGCUUGCUCUUACGGGUGGCGAGUGGCGGACGGGUGAGGAAUACAUCGGAAUCUACUUUUUCGUGGGGGAUAACGUAGGGAAACUUACGCUAAUACCGCAUACGACCUACGGGUGAAAGCAGGGGAUCUUCGGACCUUUCGCGAUUGAAUGAGCCGAUGUCGGAUUAGCUAGUUGGCGGGGUAAAGGCCCACCAAGGCGACGAUCCGUAGCUGGUCUGAGAGGAAGAUCAGCCACACUGGAACUGAGACACGGUCCAGACUCCUACGGGAGGCAGCAGUGGGGAAUAUUGGACAAUGGGCGCAAGCCUGAUCCAGCCAUACCGCGUGGGUGAAGAAGGCCUUCGGGUUGUAAAGCCCUUUUGUUGGGAAAGAAAAGCAGCAGGUUAAUACCCCGCUGUUCUGACGGUACCCAAAGAAUAAGCACCGGCUAACUUCGUG
This 492-nucleotide ribosomal RNA is filed under the name uncultured bacterium. RNAcentral's name for it is "partial 16S ribosomal RNA". It matches the Rfam family "Bacterial small subunit ribosomal RNA", at positions 29 to 507 of the family's 1533-position model. The record is from RNAcentral.